UACGGGGGGGGCAAGCGUUGUUCGGAAUUACUGGGCGUAAAGGGCUUGUAGGCGGCCAACUAAGUCAGACGUGAAAUCCCCAGGCUCAACCUGGGAACUGCGUCCGAUACUGGCAGGCUUGAAUCCGGGAGAGGGAUGUGGAAUUCCAGGUGUAGCGGUGAAAUGCGUAGAUAUCUGGAGGAACACCGGUGGCGAAGGCGGCAUCCUGGACCGGUAUUGACGCUGAGGCGCGAAAGCUAGGGGAGCAAACGGG
Molecule: ribosomal RNA, 253 nt
Filed under: uncultured bacterium
Lineage: Bacteria
Description: partial 16S ribosomal RNA
Rfam family: Bacterial small subunit ribosomal RNA
Source: RNAcentral